GACAGAGGGUGCAAACGUUGUUCGGAAUCACUGGGCGUAAAGCGCAUGUAGGCGGCAGAGUGUGUCCUGUGUGAAAUCCCUCGGCUUAACCGGGGAGUGGCAUGGGAAACUGCUUUGCUUGAGUGUGAUAGAGGAUGGCAGAAUUUCUGGUGUAGAGGUGAAAUUCGUAGAUACCAGAAGGAAUACCGGUGGCGAAGGCGACCAUCUGGAUCAUAACUGACGUUGAGAUGCGACAGCGUGGGGAGCUAACAGG
RNAcentral lists this ribosomal RNA (253 nucleotides) under uncultured bacterium. RNAcentral's name for it is "partial 16S ribosomal RNA". It matches the Rfam family "Bacterial small subunit ribosomal RNA", at positions 524 to 776 of the family's 1533-position model. The record is from RNAcentral.